Molecule: unclassified non-coding RNA, 268 nt
Filed under: Hevea brasiliensis (rubber tree)
Lineage: Eukaryota; Viridiplantae; Streptophyta; Magnoliopsida; Malpighiales; Euphorbiaceae
Source: RNAcentral
AUGAAGAAAGCUUCACAAUUUCCACGGUUGCAAUUGCAUCAUAACUCCAAAAGAAGCAUAACUACCGGGAAAAAAAAGAGAGAGAGAUAAGCAAGCAUUACAGCUGUAGGUAUUUAUAUUUCUUCAAGAAAAAGCGUCGGUAUUUAGAUAACGUUGAACUUUUUGGGCUUCUAAUGUUUAAGACUUGACUUCUAAAUGAAAAUAGAUCUUCUCUUAUUACUAGAUUAAUUAAGAUAUUUAUUAACAUUCAAAAUGCAAAUAGACUUGA